UACAGAGGGUGCAAGCGUUAAUCGGAAUCACUGGGCGUAAAGGGUGCGUAGGCGGAUUACUAAGUCAUGUGUAAAAGCCCUGGGCUUAACCUGGGAAGGAGACGUGAUACUAGUAGUCUAGAGUAGAGGAGAGGAGAGUGGAAUUUCCGGUGUAGCGGUGAAAUGCGUAGAUAUCGGAAGGAACACCAGUGGCGAAGGCGGCUCUCUGGCCUCAUACUGACGCUGAGGUACGAAAGCGUGGGUAGCGAACAGG
Molecule: ribosomal RNA, 253 nt
Filed under: uncultured bacterium
Lineage: Bacteria
Description: partial 16S ribosomal RNA
Rfam family: Bacterial small subunit ribosomal RNA
Source: RNAcentral